GUCGAGAAUCUUUCACAAUGGGGGCAACCCUGAUGGAGCGACGCCGCGUGGAGGAUAAGGUCUUCGGAUUGUAAACUCCUGUCAUGCGUGAACAAGGUUGCUUGGUUAAUACCUGGGCAAAUUGAUGGUAACGCAAGAGGAAGAGACGGCUAACUCUGUGCCAGCAGCCGCGGUAAUACAGAGGUCUCAAGCGUUGUUCGGAAUCACUGGGCGUAAAGGGUGCGUAGGUGGCGUGGUAAGUCAGAUGUGAAAGCCCGGGGCUCAACCUCGGAACUGCAUCCGAUACUGCCAGGCUAGAGUACUGGAGAGGUGACUAGAAUUCUCGGUGUAGCAGUGAAAUGCGUAGAUAUCGAGAGGAAUACCAAAGGCGUAGGCAGGUCACUGGACAGUUACUGACACUGAGGCACGAAGGCCAGGGGAGCGAAAGGGAUUAGAUACCCGUGUAGUCC
RNAcentral lists this ribosomal RNA (449 nucleotides) under uncultured bacterium. RNAcentral describes it as "partial 16S ribosomal RNA". It matches the Rfam family "Bacterial small subunit ribosomal RNA", at positions 354 to 796 of the family's 1533-position model. The record is from RNAcentral.